AUAGAAUCAAAAUCUAGUAACUAUUAGUGAUCUCCAUUCCCUUUUAAAGAACAUAAAAUUUAUUAUUAUUCAAUUAUUUUCGUUAUAAUGGAGUACUCUAUAAAUAGGUUGAAGAAAUAAAAGAAGAAAGAUUUAUGUCGGCAGCAGCAUUCGAACCCACACCGAACCACGCUAGCAACGCUCGUAUCCACAAGGCUAUGACGGCUUGUUUAGUACGGUGGUUCCAAGCUGUGGUUGGGCAUUCGCCUGAGGCUUUGACCCGCAGUGUCUCGAAGAUGGUUGGCCGUCUGCUGGCGAAGGGGGGUAUCACUGUGUUCAGGAGGACAUGCUCUACAACCCUAUUGGGUUUCAUCAGAAUCGGUGGAUUCCACUUGAGGA
RNAcentral lists this long non-coding RNA (378 nucleotides) under Androctonus crassicauda. Lineage: Eukaryota; Metazoa; Arthropoda; Arachnida; Scorpiones; Buthidae. The record is from RNAcentral.